Molecule: ribosomal RNA, 301 nt
Filed under: uncultured bacterium
Lineage: Bacteria
Description: partial 16S ribosomal RNA
Rfam family: Bacterial small subunit ribosomal RNA
Source: RNAcentral
CAGUCGCCACGGGAAUACGAAGGGGGCUAGCGUUGCUCGGAUUUACUGGGCGUAAAGGGCGCGUAGGCGGGCGAAUAAGUCAGGGGUGAAAUCCCAAGGCUCAACCUUGGAACUGCCUUUGAUACUGUUUGUCUUGAGUCCGGGAGAGGUGAGUGGAACUGCGAGUGUAGAGGUGAAAUUCGUAGAUAUUCGCAAGAACACCAGUGGCGAAGGCGGCUCACUGGCCCGGAACUGACGCUGAGGCGCGAAAGCGUGGGGAGCAAACAGGAUUAGAUACCCGCGUAGUCCCUGUCUCUUAUAC